This is a long non-coding RNA of Osmia bicornis bicornis, 3526 nucleotides long. RefSeq lists it as uncharacterized. The record is from RefSeq and is a predicted model, not a curated record. The transcript is spliced from 5 exons. Lineage: Eukaryota; Metazoa; Arthropoda; Insecta; Hymenoptera; Megachilidae.
AGACGCCGCGUUCGGAAUAAUAAUAAUAAUUCUUCGGGACAGAUAAAUUUAUAGGUGAAUCGUGUUCGCGCUAGGAAAAGUCAAUUGCUCGAGUGUCGGUCGUUUUUUAGGGUGAGCGGAAUGGCGGAGGGUUUUAUUUCGAAUCGUUCUUCCGUUCCAGGAGAUCAUAAAGUUACUCUAGCUUCAUAAGAAAGAACAAUCCGGAGUAAUGCGAGGGCAAAACGUGCCCAAAGGGAAUGUACGUGAUGUCAUUUUGAAACGACACCACGAUUGACGAAAGAGAAUAACAAGGAAGAAUCGAGCGAUUCUUAUUGUUUUCGUUUAAUUCAAAACGAUUCGGAAACUCUUCGGUUAUCUCAUCGUUAACGACAAUAAAAAUAAUAUAACGGAGGUAUAGGGAGAAUUUUUGCGAUGAAAAUAAUGAGUUAACCACGGAAACGAGAAGCUCGUUAGUUAUCGGAACAGCUGUGCAAGCCUCCUCGUUAUUCCGUGUUUACCGUAACAUAUUUUAUGGCUGCUUUAAGCAUCCCUCCUUCCGAUGCUGGAAUGUUUCUCCAAUGGAAUACAGGCCUUCCCGCAAUGUAUAAUAGUUGAUAAUUUCAUGACGAGAUUGUGAAACGUCGACGUUCCACGAUCGCGAACAUUCGUAACGUAUUUCGCGCUCUCCGUGAAUGCAAGACUUCGCUUAAACGCAUGUCACGUAUUGAUUGUAAAAUGGAAAUACAUACAGAGUGGUUCGUGAGGAUCUUCGAACUGUAAUCGUUGGCGAGAAGCGAGGAAAAUUUCGCAAUGCGACGCGUUACGCAAAUCAUUUUCAAGAGUAUUGUAACGCGUGAGAUAGAGUCAGCCACGAUUUGAAAACUGGGAAAACUAUGAUAGAAGUUAUGCAGGUUUUGAAGCAGCACGUGCACAACACAUUAAUUGUUCAUAAUGCACUCGCCUGUUAUCUCUACUUGUUUGCUGUACAGACUGCUUUUAAUUACUACAACCUUUUCACAUGGUAUUACAUAAAAAAGGCGGACGAAUUUUUAAGUUUUCAAUUUUACUUUAUUUCGACAUGUUAACGCUUGUCGAGAAUGAAAGCAACAACCGAACAGACUUUAAGGAGGCCAAGAUAACAGCGAUAAAAGAUAAACGUCGAUUUGUAAGUCAGUGGCACGUUCAUCAUUUGUGCAAAAAGAAAGGAAUAAGCAGAGAUCAUAUGGAAGACCAUGUUCCUACGUUAGUGAAAACAGAGAAAAUGGUUGAACACUACGAACGAACGCUAUUGAUAACCAUUGCAUAUGAAAUCACUUCAGAUAAUAAUUCAUUUUUUAAUUUAUAUUGCAUGACGUCGCAAGGUUAAAGUACAACAUCGUUUAGUCUUUUACUUUUAUCAACAGUUUGCACGUGAUGUUACCGAAAGGAAUGUCUUAUUUCAUGAUUGCUCCUGAAUUCCUGCUUCAACAACAAACAUCGUGUAAUAAGAUGAUCACGCGUCUGGAUCAUUUUCAUUGCACGUCAGCGAUAAAUCAAUGAAAAAUACAUGAAACAUGAUCGAAUUAUUGGUUAGCGAAAAAGCCUAUUCGUGGUUCGUGUCGAAGAUAAAACCUCAGUCUUUUUGAAUUCGUUCUAAUAUCGUUACAAGGUAAUUUUAAAAACUUUCAUUUCUUUCUCUUCUGUACCUCCUGUAGUAUAUUAGAUAAUAAAAAUGAAUUAUUAAAAAGUUUCAAGUACACCCGUAAUCUCUGGAUAAAUGAAAGCUGUCUGAACGAGUUGACUCCUUAUGUUGACCCUCGCAGAAAAUCUUUAUCGCGUUCAUUUUAUUCACACUUUCUGAAUUAAUUUUCUUCAUUUUCGAGGUCGUGUAUGCACGUCUAAUGCAGUGGAAAGAUUAAUCGAACACCACCCACGAUUUUCUUUUCUCGAUGCUGCCAAGAGGAUUUAAAAUCCAGAGGAGAAAAAUAAAUUCCAGAAUCGAGGUUUUAUCGAAAUCUUCAGAGGCAUACUUGCUAUUUCGAUUCAUCCUCGAUCGAAACCUCCUCGAGGCGAACGGACAGGGUUGUUCCUGCGCUCUGAUCGAUGGAUCAAACAACGAUGGUCUUCAUGGUCGCGAAGACGAUCGAACGAGCAAAUUGAACGGUAGGCGUGAAUACACACGUUGUACGCUCUUUGGCAAACGAACAGGGCUGUUCCCACUAGCGCGUCACUGUCGCGCUUGUCACUCGAUUACACGCACGCACGUUUACGCACGUCUAAGCACCGCGAUGAUCGCCGAUCGACUGUUUACCAGCUGACUGACAGUGGUCUUUGCCUUUCGAAGGUCGUCCAUCCUGGAAUCGGCUGGCAGUCGUGCACGGCAACCCGUCCAGUCAUCGCGCAAUCCGCUCGCUGGACUCUCCUAUCGUCCACGGUUGCUCGGUAAAUACACGCUACCUACACGUCCACGUUGAUAACGAAACUCCACCCAGAUAAUAUUAGGAUGCCCUGUGCUGUCCGGACGACGCGACACACGCCUGAUAACGCUUCAAACGAACUUUCAUUUCACCUUCUGUCCGCUUGAUUUUUCCUCCUCUCCUCGUUUCGGCCACCGGGCUGCCGAUAAAACUUGUAGCUUUUUCUUCUUUUUCAUUAUUCAAGUUUACGUAUCAUUGAAACCGCCUCCAAAAGAAGAUAUGAAUGUUGUGGAGGAAAUAUUGAAUCGAAUGAGAGUCUCGAGUGAAGAUUCAAUUAUUUCUUCCAUUUUUUUUAUUAUUCCACUUUAUAAAUCUUUGAAACGUAUCAAAUGUUUGUUCGUUUGUAUGUUUCUUGAAUUGUAUUUGCUUAGCUAUGUCGGAAUGACGUACUGUGUCAACACCGGUUUGUGUCUGAUAGUGAAAAUGACGUGUACUCUGUGCCGCAUGACUCCAUAAAAUCAUUAUCGUUGCUUUUCAUUUACAUAUAUCAAGAAAUGUUACUGAAUUACUUCUGGUGAUAUUUUUAGAUUUCUUUUUGUUUAUUUAAUAAUUGCAGGGAGAGGGUUUAAUGAUUUCCAAAAAUGCAAGUCACACUCGUUUUUUAAACUGAUUAAUGUAACAAAGGCGACUGGAGUUUCGACUACAAUUGAUCAUCAACGGUUCGAUAUCGAAGAAUGUUUAGAUUUGAAGCAAUAACUGGUGUUUUAUUUUAUUUCAGUGUCCAACAUCGGUCCACGAUUCCAAAAAUUGUACUAAAGAUCGAAAUCUUCUUGCAAUAUCCUUCUAUCAUCCCUUUAUUCGGCACAGGAGAUCGGCAGAUCAGAGCGGGAAGAAAAUCGAGGCCGGAUUCUAUGGGCGUGUAACGCAAGGGGGCGAAGAAAGAUUCGGCCUAGCAGUUUCGUGAUAUUCAAGAAGGGGGUUGUAAAACUACCAUCAUUCUCCGGAGGAAGGGUCGGAAGCUGAAGGCGGAGAGAUUGUUCUGCUUGGAUAUAGGUCGUUGCCCUACCUCGACGCGUGGAAAAUGCUUCCAUCGCAGAAUUCUCCACACGUUUUAUUGUCCAAGGGAUGAAUAAAAGAACAGUAAAAUCGCA